Molecule: ribosomal RNA, 253 nt
Filed under: uncultured bacterium
Lineage: Bacteria
Description: partial 16S ribosomal RNA
Rfam family: Bacterial small subunit ribosomal RNA
Source: RNAcentral
UACGUAGGGGGCAAGCGUUGUCCGGAUUUAUUGGGCGUAAAGCGCGCGUAGGCGGCGCGGUAUGUCGUGCGUGAAAUCUCCCGGCUUAACUGGGAGGGGCCGUGCGAAACUGCCGGGCUUGAGGUCGGAAGGGGAAAGUGGAAUUCAGGGUGUAGUGGUGGAAUACGUAGAUAUCCGGAGGAACACCAGCGGCGAAGGCGGCUUUCUGGUCCGAUACUGACGCUGAGGUGCGAAAGCGUGGGGAGCGAUCCGG